GAGACGUUAGAUCUGAGAUGGAUG
Molecule: microRNA, 24 nt
Filed under: Zea mays
Lineage: Eukaryota; Viridiplantae; Streptophyta; Magnoliopsida; Poales; Poaceae
Description: microRNA miR-3132
Source: RNAcentral